UUGACUGUGCUAAGGUAGCAUAAUAAAUUGGCUUUUAAUUGAAGUCGGGAAUGAAAGGGUGUUUGGAGUUAUUCUGUCUUAUUUUUAUUUUUUUGAAAUUACUAAUGAGGUGAAAAUUCCUCAGUAUUAUUUGAUAGACGAGAAGACCCUAAGAAUUAUUACAACUAUUAAAAAAUUAAUAAAAGUUUUUGUUGGGGCAACAGCUUUGGAAAUAAGUAACCAAAGUUAAAUUUAUUUUAAACAUAAAAAUUUUACUGAAAAUGAAUUUAAUUACCUUAGGGAUAACAGCAUAAUUAUAUAUUUAGAUUGUGACCUCGAUGUUGGAUUAAGGCCU
This 334-nucleotide ribosomal RNA is filed under the name Pyramidula jaenensis. RNAcentral's name for it is "partial 16S ribosomal RNA". Lineage: Eukaryota; Metazoa; Mollusca; Gastropoda; Stylommatophora; Pyramidulidae. The record is from RNAcentral.